Molecule: long non-coding RNA, 602 nt
Organism: Ruditapes philippinarum (Manila clam)
Lineage: Eukaryota; Metazoa; Mollusca; Bivalvia; Venerida; Veneridae
Exons: 3
Source: RefSeq, a predicted model, not a curated record
AAUAAAUAAAAAAAAAUAAGGUCAUGAGCCAGUCUAUGUGUAGCUAUAUAGCAUAGAAAUUGUGCACACUGCCUGAUACUGAGUCUAUAUACCUGUAUGUUAUAUCUCUGAGGGAAGAUAAGAAAACUUGAAUGAUCUAGAGCACCCAUCAGAAGUAUAGAGGAUUUCGUGCUGUGUACAAUACCUCAAACAUAAUUAUAAGCCUUACACUUUUUCGAACAAAACCCCUGAAGUGUCUGGAAUAUACAUUUCUGUCAUAGACACAAAGGUGCAGCUGUAAACCCCUUCUGCUUAUUUUCAAGGAUUUAUAUUUAGAGUCAAGUGUUGAAAACAUUUUAUCAACUGUGUUGAUAAGAGCAGUUUAUUUUCUUUUGUAAUAUUGGAUUAUUGAUGGUUUUAAGUUGGUCUUGUACAUCUAUUUGCAGAAGGGACGCUUUCAGCACUAAGGGGUUACAACGAACAUUUGUUGAGGAUUAGACAGAAAAGUACUGUGUUUAACAAGAUACUGGAACAGCAUAAUUUGGCCAUGCCGAGGCUCUUGAUCACUGAGAAUUGUCAAGUGCACUAUCCAUCUGGCAUCAAGCAACACAGGACAUUAUUGG